AGGAGUUUGAUCAUGGCUCAGAUUGAACGCUGGCGGCAUGCUUUACACAUGCAAGUCGAGUGGCAGCGCGGGGGCAACCCUGGCGGCGAGCGGCGGACGGGUGAGUAAUGCAUCGGAACGUAUCCCGUAGUGGGGGACAACCCAGCGAAAGCUGGGCUAAUACCGCAUAUGCUCUACGGAGGAAAGUGGGGGACCCGCAAGGGCCUCACGCUAUGGGAGCGGCCGAUGUCCGAUUAGCUAGUUGGUGGGGUAAAGGCCUACCAAGGCGACGAUCGGUAGCUGGUCUGAGAGGAUGAUCAGCCACACUGGGACUGAGACACGGCCCAGACUCCUACGGGAGGCAGCAGUGGGGAAUUUUGGACAAUGGGGGCAACCCUGAUCCAGCCAUGCCGCGUGCGGGAAGAAGGCCUUCGGGUUGUAAACCGCUUUUGUUCGGGAAGAAAAGGCACGUCCUAAUACGGCGUGUUCUUGACGGUACCGGAAGAAUAAGCACCGGCUAACUACGUG
Molecule: ribosomal RNA, 507 nt
Filed under: uncultured bacterium
Lineage: Bacteria
Description: bacterial SSU rRNA
Rfam family: Bacterial small subunit ribosomal RNA
Source: RNAcentral